RNAcentral lists this ribosomal RNA (422 nucleotides) under Verrucomicrobiota bacterium. RNAcentral describes it as "Verrucomicrobia bacterium partial 16S ribosomal RNA". It matches the Rfam family "Bacterial small subunit ribosomal RNA", at positions 355 to 776 of the family's 1533-position model. Lineage: Bacteria; Pseudomonadati; Verrucomicrobiota. The record is from RNAcentral.
UGGGGAAUUUUGCACAAUGGGCGCAAGCCUGAUGCCGCGACGCCGCGUGAGGGAUGAAGGCCUUCGGGUUGUAAACCUUUUUCGCUCAUGGUCAAGCCGCAGCUUUGGGUUGUGGUGAGGGUAUUGGGUAAAGAAGCGCCGGCUAACUACGUGCCAGCAGCCGCGGUAAUACGUAGGGCGCGAGCGUUGUCCGGAAUUAUUGGGCGUAAAGGGCUUGUAGGCGGUUGGCCGCGUCUGCCGUGAAAUCCUCUGGCUUAACUGGGGGCGUGCGGUGGGUACGGGUUGACUUGAGUGCGGUAGGGGAGACUGGAAUUCCUGGUGUAGCGGUGGAAUGCGCAGAUAUCAGGAGGAACACCGGUGGCGAAGGCGGGUCUCUGGGCCGUUACUGACGCUGAGGAGCGAAAGCGUGGGGAGCGAACAGG